Molecule: long non-coding RNA, 462 nt
Organism: Austrofundulus limnaeus
Lineage: Eukaryota; Metazoa; Chordata; Actinopteri; Cyprinodontiformes; Rivulidae
Exons: 3
Source: RefSeq, a predicted model, not a curated record
CAAUGCCUAUACAUACUGUGUUCUGACUUUUUUAUUUGGAAUUGGCAAUYUAGGCAACAAAAGCUCUUCAAAAGCAAAAUCAGAKUCUGGASUCRUUACAAAAGGAGUUUUCAGUGACUGACAGUGAACUGAGUGACUGGGUCAGUGAUGUAAAGGAGUGGGCAGAAGCUACAACUGGCACAACUGAUCCUGACUCUUUAGCAGGCCGAAUACAGGUUCUGGCUGCAAGCAUCAAGAGGCGAUCCCAGCGUCUUUAUAAGGACAUGGARGGAAACAAAGCUCGUGCCAAGAUUCACCGCAAGAUCAGAGAGGAAAAAAGCAUCUUAACAUUGGCUUUGGAAGACUACAACAAGACGGUUCCAGACACACAAGCUCUGUCUUUGGAAGAGAUUCUGUCCAAUGACACAACUUUGCCAUGGCAGCAAUCACACAGUGCAUUUCAGACUCUGUCAGUCUUGCCAC